UAAGGAAUAUUGGUCAAUGGGCGCAAGCCUGAACCAGCCAUGCCGCGUGUAGUAUGACGGCCCUUCGGGUUGUAACCUACUUUUGAAUGGGAAGAAACCCCGAGAUUUAUCUUGGGCUGACGGUACCAUUAGAAUAAGCACCGGCUAACUCCGUGCCAGCAGCCGCGGUAAUACGGAGGGUGCGAGCGUUAUCCGGAAUCACUGGGUUUAAAGGGUGCGUAGGCGGUCUGUUAAGUCAGUAUUGAAAGCCUGGAGCUUAACUUCGGAAUUGGUAUUGAUACUGACAGACUUGAAUCAGGAUGAGGUAGGCGGAAUGUGACAUGUAGCGGUGAAAUGCUUAGAUAUGUCAUAGAACACCGAUUGCGUAGGCAGCCUACUGGGCCUAGAUUGACGCUGAGGC
This 400-nucleotide ribosomal RNA is filed under the name uncultured bacterium. RNAcentral describes it as "bacterial SSU rRNA". It matches the Rfam family "Bacterial small subunit ribosomal RNA", at positions 355 to 752 of the family's 1533-position model. The record is from RNAcentral.